UAGGGAAUCUUCGGCAAUGGACGAAAGUCUGACCGAGCAACGCCGCGCGAGUGAAGAAGGUUUUCGGAUCGUAAAACUCUGUUGUUAGAGAAGAACAAGGACGUUAGUAACUGAACGUCCCCUGACGGUAUCUAACCAGAAAGCCACGGCUAACUACGUGCCAGCAGCCGCGGUAAUACGUAGGUGGCAAGCGUUGUCCGGAUUUAUUGGGCGUAAAGCGAGCGCAGGCGGUUUCUUAAGUCUGAUGUGAAAGCCCCCGGCUCAACCGGGGAGGUGCAUUGGAAACUGGGAGACUUGAGUGCGGGAGAGGGGAGUGGAAUUCCGUGUGUAGCGGUGAAAUGCGUAGAUAUAUGGAGGAACACCAGUGGCGAAGGCGGCUCUCUGGGCUGUAACUGACGCUGAGGCUCGAAAGCGUGGGGAGCAAACAGG
Molecule: ribosomal RNA, 429 nt
Filed under: Gemmatimonadota bacterium
Lineage: Bacteria; Pseudomonadati; Gemmatimonadota
Description: Gemmatimonadetes bacterium partial 16S ribosomal RNA
Rfam family: Bacterial small subunit ribosomal RNA
Source: RNAcentral